ACGGUGCCUAAUAUCCAUGUGUUGAUUGGGGCUAAAGUCAGGGGGUUAAGCAAGGUCUAGUUAGCCUGGGUUCUGAAUUACCACGGAGAAGGUGAAGCAAAACAACAGGCCUUCAUCCCACCUGUCGGCCAAUUACUGCUACAUAAACACGAUGGUCGGUCGGCUGCAUGCACACGCAUAAGAUAAAUUGAGGUAGGUGGUCGGACUUCCCCAAUUAAGGAAUCUGACGGACUGAAAAAGCUCACUUUAAGACAAAUAUCAUGAAAUCCCUGAGCUCUGACCAGUCUACGGAUCUUUUACACGGUUUUAGAGAAGCAAAUGAUCACCCUGAUGCCAUUUUUCAAGGCUAAUCUGUCUCCGUUUGUAUAUUCUCUCAGUUUUUCCACCUACAUGACACACGUUUUUCAUCCAGGCCCUUUUCCCCUGCUGUCUUUGGCCCCUGUGACCCGCAUGUGUUAACAGGUGGAUGCGCCUGUUUUUGCCGCCUGACUCUCUGUGUUUGCCCAUGAUGGUCAGACAGGAAGCCGGCCAGACUGCGGUCGGCUUGAGCCAGGUUUUCAGUCCUUUCGGCGAGGUGUGAGGAAGACGUGGUGACAUCACUCUUGUGGGAUAGUCCCGUGACGAUGAAGGAGGAGGAGACGGACUGCAGAUCUAUUUCUGGCUCUGCUUAUAUACACUAGGGGUUUGCAGAGACACCAUAACCUUCAACUGUAUCUGUCCAGCCUGGUGCCACAAGACCCAGUUACCUUAGUGAAGGGGUCUGGGACCGUACAAGUCAUUCAUGGGGUAAGGUGACCAGAUGUCCCAGACAAUCCCCGUAUUGGAUGACCUGUCCCCGGCUAAAGCUGUCCCUGGAAAUGUCCCAGAUUUAAGUGUUUAAGCGAGAACAAAAAUGUUGUGUGUAGACUAGAACAAAAAUGGUUAUGACGGUAGCCGAGUAGGUAGGAAGCACGAGUAAGCAUGUUGCGCGCAGUCCUGAACAACAGUUUUUAUGGGGUAUGUGUGCUGCUAUGGAGUAGUACCGACAUGUUAUUAUGGGGUGCAUUUCGAAAAGACCCCCCGGAAGCGACCCAACUCAUAAAAAGGGCUUCAAAUGACCUUUCAGUGGUGGAAGUGGAAGGUCCUCAAUCUGAGACCCUACCUAUCAAUUGAAGCACUCUUGUA
Molecule: non-coding RNA, 1164 nt
Organism: Xyrichtys novacula (pearly razorfish)
Lineage: Eukaryota; Metazoa; Chordata; Actinopteri; Labriformes; Labridae
Source: the annotation of a GenBank genome assembly